RNAcentral lists this transfer RNA (71 nucleotides) under Camelus ferus (Wild Bactrian camel). It matches the Rfam family "tRNA". Rfam says of the family: Transfer RNA (tRNA) molecules are approximately 80 nucleotides in length. The record is from Rfam by way of RNAcentral. Lineage: Eukaryota; Metazoa; Chordata; Mammalia; Artiodactyla; Camelidae.
AGGGUAUAGCUCAGUGGUAGAAUACAUGCUUAGCAUGCACGAGGUCCUGGGUUCAAUCCCCAGUACCUCUA